Molecule: unclassified non-coding RNA, 1427 nt
Filed under: uncultured Dothideomycetes
Lineage: Eukaryota; Fungi; Ascomycota; Dothideomycetes
Description: sequence contains 18S rRNA gene, ITS1, 5.8S rRNA gene, ITS2, 28S rRNA gene
Rfam family: Eukaryotic large subunit ribosomal RNA (bases 454-1427)
Source: RNAcentral
GGAAGGAUCAUUACCGAGAACGGCGCUCCGGCGCCAUCUCCAACCCGUGUGAACCCGUCGUCGUUGCCUUGCCGGACCAGCGCCGCCCCCGGCCUGCUGGGGAGUGUCCGGCAGUGGAACAACCCAACGCUCUCAACGGUAGUCUGAGUAACGUCAAACAAAAAACUUUCAACAACGGAUCUCUUGGUUCUGGCAUCGAUGAAGAACGCAGCGAAAUGCGAAAAGUAAUGUGAAUUGCAGAAUUCAGUGAAUCAUCGAAUCUUUGAACGCACAUUGCGCCCGGCGGCAUUCCGCCGGGCAUGCCUGUUCGAGCGUCAUUUCACCCUCAAGCUCCGCUUGGUCUUGGAGGCUGCCGUCGGCACCUCUGCAACCAGUUGGCGGGACUCGCAGCCUGCGACGAGCAAGAUUCGUCGGCGGGUCGAGGGCCCUCGCCAGAUGACGACUCCUCGAGUUUGACCUCGGAUCAGGUAGGGAUACCCGCUGAACUUAAGCAUAUCAAUAAGCGGAGGAAAAGAAACCAACAGGGAUUGCCUCAGUAACGGCGAGUGAAGCGGCAACAGCUCAAAUUUGAAAUCUGCCAGCAGGCCGAGUUGUAAUUUGGAGAGGAUGCUCCGGGCGCGGUUGGGUCCAAGUUCCUUGGAACAGGACGUCGCAGAGGGUGAGAAUCCCGUACGACCCGCCACCAAGCCCGUGCGGGGCUCCUUCGACGAGUCGAGUUGUUUGGGAAUGCAGCUCCAAGCGGGAGGUAUAUUUCUUCUAAAGCUAAAUACCGGCCAGAGACCGAUAGCGCACAAGUAGAGUGAUCGAAAGAUGAAAAGCACUUUGGAAAGAGAGUUAAAGAGUACGUGAAAUUGUUGAAAGGGAAGCGUCUGCGGCCAGACUUGGCGGCGGUUGCUCAGCCGGUCGCCGACCGGUGCACUCUUCCGCCGCCAGGCCAGCAUCAGUUUGGGUGGUCGGACAAAGGCGAGGGGAACGUGGCUCCCAGGAGUGUUAUAGCCCCUCGCACAAUGCGGCCCGCCCGGACUGAGGCCUGCGUUCUCGUGGAUGCUGGCGUAAUGGCAGCCGACGACCCGUCUUGAAACACGGACCAAGGAGUCUAACGUGCCUGCGAGUGUUUGGGUGUCAAACCCGUGCGCGCAAUGAAAGUGAACGGAGGUGGGAGCCUCGGCGCACCAUCGACCGAUCCCGAUGUCCUCGGAAGGAUUUGAGUAUGAGCAUGCGUGCUGGGACCCGAAAGAUGAUGAACUAUGCCUAGAUAGACUGAAGCCGCCCGAAAGGGCGGUGGAAGGUCGCAGCGGUUCUGACGUGCAAAUCGAUCGUCAAAUCUGGGUAUAGGGGCGAAAGUGAGUUUACCCGUCAGAUUGAGAGCAGAGAUGGAAUGCUAACGGUCCCAGGACUAAUCGAAUCAUCUAGUAGCUGGUUCCGGC